UACGUAGGGGGCAAGCGUUAUCCGGAUUUACUGGGUGUAAAGGGAGCGUAGACGGAUAAGCAAGUCUGAUGUGAAAAUCCGGGGCCCAACCCCGGAAUUGCAUUGGAAACUGCAUAUCUAGAGUGUCGGAGAGGCAAGUGGAAUUCCUGGUGUAGCGGUGAAAUGCGUAGAUAUCAGGAGGAACACCAAUGGCGAAGGCAGGUCUCUGGGCCGUUACUGACGCUGAGGAGCCAAAGCGUGGGGAGCGAACAGG
RNAcentral lists this ribosomal RNA (253 nucleotides) under uncultured bacterium. RNAcentral's name for it is "partial 16S ribosomal RNA". It matches the Rfam family "Bacterial small subunit ribosomal RNA", at positions 524 to 776 of the family's 1533-position model. The record is from RNAcentral.